UUUGAUUUUUAUUAACAAAUACAUUGUUUAACAAAUUUUUUUAUGUGCUAAAUAAGUUAUGCGACAACACUUUUAAAAAUUUCAAAUAUAAGAUAUUUACACUUUUUUUUUGUUCUUUCUUGUUUUCUUUUUUAUGUUUUCUUCUUUCCUUUCUACAUUCAUCGUCUUCAACCAGCAACACCUCCCAUAACUAACCCAAAAUUAGCACGAGAAGCUUUCACUCUCAAUUUCUUCUCUACCUUCAUUUAACACACGUAAAAAUAAACUGCCACACCCACU
RNAcentral lists this long non-coding RNA (279 nucleotides) under Vigna radiata. RNAcentral describes it as "long non-coding RNA (VRAD_LNC011461)". The record is from RNAcentral. Lineage: Eukaryota; Viridiplantae; Streptophyta; Magnoliopsida; Fabales; Fabaceae.